Molecule: ribosomal RNA, 483 nt
Filed under: uncultured bacterium
Lineage: Bacteria
Description: partial 16S ribosomal RNA
Rfam family: Bacterial small subunit ribosomal RNA
Source: RNAcentral
UUGAACGCUGGCGGCAGGCCUAACACAUGCAAGUCGAGCGGAUGAAGGGAGCUUGCUCCUGGAUUCAGCGGCGGACGGGUGAGUAAUGCCUAGGAAUCUGCCUGGUAGUGGGGGAUAACGUCCGGAAACGGGCGCUAAUACCGCAUACGUCCUGAGGGAGAAAGUGGGGGAUCUUCGGACCUCACGCUAUCAGAUGAGCCUAGGUCGGAUUAGCUAGUUGGUGGGGUAAAGGCCUACCAAGGCGACGAUCCGUAACUGGUCUGAGAGGAUGAUCAGCCACACUGGAACUGAGACACGGUCCAGACUCCUACGGGAGGCAGCAGUGGGGAAUAUUGGACAAUGGGCGAAAGCCUGAUCCAGCCAUGCCGCGUGUGUGAAGAAGGUCUUCGGAUUGUAAAGCACUUUAAGCUGGGAGGAAGGGCAGUAAGUUAAUACCUUGCUGUUUUGACGUUACCAACAGAAUAAGCACCGGCUAACUUCGUG